CACAGCUUCCUCUCCUCUCACACUUCUCUGAGACCGUAGAGGGGCUCACAACCAUCAGAGCGUUCAGGUAUGAGCCUAGAUUCAGACAGAGACUUCUAGAGUUCACAGAUGCCAAUAACAUGGCCUCUCUCUUCCUCACAGCGGCCAAUCGCUGGCUGGAGGUCCGAAUGGAGUACAUCGGGGCCUGUAUUGUCCUAAUAGCAGCUGUGGCAUCCAUC
Long non-coding RNA from Sinocyclocheilus grahami, 218 nucleotides. RefSeq lists it as uncharacterized. The transcript has 3 exons. The record is from RefSeq and is a predicted model, not a curated record. NCBI's taxonomy places the organism in Eukaryota, Metazoa, Chordata, Actinopteri, Cypriniformes, Cyprinidae.